This 864-nucleotide long non-coding RNA is filed under the name Helianthus annuus (common sunflower). RNAcentral's name for it is "sRNA HanXRQr2_Chr13g0598881". Lineage: Eukaryota; Viridiplantae; Streptophyta; Magnoliopsida; Asterales; Asteraceae. The record is from RNAcentral.
CUUUAUUUUCAGAUCUGAACAUUCUACCCCUUCCUCCACGUAACCAAUUCCCCCUUCCCUCCCAUGAAACCAAUCCUCCCGUCUCUCCACUUAUUUUCUGUUGAAUUUUGCUUUCAUUCCCGUCUCUCCCCAUAUUAUCUGUUGAAUUUUGCUUUCUGGAUUCCUGUAACAUGCUUCUCUGCAUCCAUAUAAACACCUUCCACUCUUACAAAACCCUACAUCAUCUUUGAUUUCGCUCUCACACACUUCAAAUUUGUUCUCAAUUGCUUACGACAAGGUAAAUUGAAGGUCUUCACAGCUGUUGAUACUGAACGGAGAUGUGCAUCUGAUUGUAAUCAACAAACAGUUAGGGCAAACUUCAAGAGAGAUCGAGCAGGUAAAGUGUGCCAGAAGUCACCAUAUUCCCCUUCCAUUGAGCUGAAUGUCAAGCCACGCUACGGACGUGAGUUGUGAGGGGACGGGAUGACGGUAGUAGGCAUCACUCAGGAGCACAAUUCUGAAAGCAGAUGUCUAUUGUCAUGUUAAAGAGGCCAAGCAAAAUCUAUCAAGUUACUUCUGCACAUAAAGCGCAAUGAGGGAGGCAACUCUUAUCUUUUGAUAUCCGAAAACUUAUCUUUUAUUAUUUAAGAAAGACAAAGUCAUAAAACUAGAUCAUUUAAUGUGGUUAACUAUAUAGUGGUCAAAAGCGCGCUAGAGUCUAGGUGCAAGCCUAGGCUCUCGGGACGAGGCGAGGCACAACUAAAACGCCUCAAACACACUCAAGUGCUAAAAACGCUUUGCACCAGCCUGAGUGGGUCUGAACCAGCCUUGUGGUUUCUUUAUUUGAGUUGAAUCCACUCUAUAGUCAAUCUCCCUUGCCAUAUU